AGGGAUUAAAUCUGUCUAAAGCCGCGGAAGGACCGAUACAUCCACAUAAACGUUAACAAUAAGACAAGACAAUGUUUUUCUCCGAGGGCAUAUACGUUUGUUAGAAUACAGAUUACAAUUCAUCAGAAGACAGAUCAAUAAAUAAAAAUAAAUAAAAAGACGGAUUUUUGUUUUGGAUGGCUCAACACAGGAUGGCUGUGGAGCGAUCCACCGCAGCCCUACUAGUUGUAAUGGGUGUCAUUGUGGGUACCCUCGCUGACAUGCCACAUACAUAUUCAACUGGAUCUCCCACAACGUUUGGAGUAUUGAACACCAAUUCAAACACUACAAUCAGUCCAUCAACUCCAACCUCAGCGCCAACUUUUAAGUUGAAGGCUACAAUAUCAAAGCCUUUCACUGCAGAGUUAACAAACCAAACAACUAAAGAAUUUCAAGAACUGGCAUCGGCUGUUAUCAUGGUGUGUAAUGAGUUCUUUCGGAAGACAUAUGGGCUGGUUUUCAACACCACGAAUGUCCUGGGAUUCAGUUCGUCCACGACUGGUAAGACUACAGUAGAGGGGGAGCUUGUAUUUAAUGAUACAGCCUCACCUGAAGAGAUCCCAUCAGCAAGUGAAGUUUUGAACACCAUGAGAUUGGCUGCAGCAGCAACCUGUUCGAGCGGAAUCUCAAUUGAUACGGAUUCUAUAGCUGUAACAGAAACGCCAACCUCAACGACAGCACCAACAACAACUACGGAAACUCCAGAUUCCUCAGUUCCUACUGUGUCUUUCACGGUAGAGGCUACACUAUCAAAGCCUUUCACUGCAGAG
Long non-coding RNA from Gadus macrocephalus (Pacific cod), 809 nucleotides. RefSeq lists it as uncharacterized. The transcript is spliced from 6 exons. The record is from RefSeq and is a predicted model, not a curated record. NCBI's taxonomy places the organism in Eukaryota, Metazoa, Chordata, Actinopteri, Gadiformes, Gadidae.